CGUCAGCCAGACGCACACCUGUAUGCACCCGCCGUGCGAUUUCGCCGCCCCCUUCUUUUGGCUUUCUCCCUCCCUCUCGUUCUCGUUACUAUCUUCGUCGCCGUGAGGGGUUCCUUCUCGCGUCGUGCCUCUGCUCUUCUUCCCGUUAUACGCACAGGAUCUGUGGUCGUGUGCUCGGCGGUACGCCUUCUCCUGCUUACUCCAUCCGCACCUCCUCGCCAGUGUGGCCCCCGCUCUCUUCCUCGUUGCUUUCAUUCGCCACUCGCACUCGACAACCGUUGCUUGUGCCUGUGCGCUGUCUCAUCUGGCCGGUGCGUGUCCGAGUAACGAAAGAGGAAGCAGAAAGAAACAGCGCGCGUGGGGCGUGCUGGGUGGGACGUCAUGACAUCCGUGGGAACGAGCCCCAUCAGUCGCCUUGACUUUGGUGGCAGCACAAGCAGCAGCCAAAGCAGUAGCGCGAGGAGCAGAAGCAGCACUAGUGGAAGCGGCCAGAGCGGUGUGCUACACGUGGACAGCGCUGACUACCACGAUACCGUCAGCCCAGCGGCGUCGUCGCCGUUUCCAGAAUCAACUUUUACGACAGCCGCGACGGUGGAGGGUGCCCCUGCCUUGACUGGAGUGCCUUCACCAGCGAGUUGCUCGGCCAUGCGCCAUACUACGUCGAGCGGGUGCUUCUACAGGUUUGCGGCCACUGCAUCCUCACCACCUCCGCAGCUGCCUGCUCGCUGGUUGCGGCAGCCAGAGGCCUCGUCGACUGGUUGGCCUCUGCAGCCGCACGACCAGAGGCAGCAACAGACGGCCACAACGCGGUCACCAACACAAGCUUGUGACAGCACGUCAACGGCUGCUGUAGCGAGUCGCCAUGCUCGUCCGGCUCCGGCCUCGCCAUCGCCUCGCUCAGACGGUGACAUUGCUGCAGCCGCUACCGGCACCGCCGCGUCUGGGCGAUCGUGCGCCUCACCGCUGCCUCGCCGGUCACACACAGCGGCAGAGGAGCGCCUAUCAGCACCGUCUGCAGCUCUCCCGCGCUCUUUUUACUUCCAGCCGGUGCGUACAACAGAGUCGGUCUGCGUGGCUACGACGGCGUCCUCGUCGGAGUGGGUCCUGCUGAAUGUUGGCGGCCGGCUCAUCACAACGACCGUCGGCACACUCAUGGCGGAUCCUGACAGCGUGUUGGCGUCGCUGUGUGCGUGCCUUGUCCCCCCGCCAGGGCGGGGCGACAUCGCUGCCGGGAAGAAGAGCGGUGCACGCCGCAGUGCAGCAAUGACAACACAGGAGGCCUCGGGGCGCUGUGGAGCCGUCGCCGACGCGACGCCGCCCGGGGAGGAGGCGCCCGAGGGCGGAGUUCGAUGCGACCCGCUAGGACGUGACAACCGCACUCACACCGCCAACCUCGCCGAGGGUCGCAACGCCGACGGCUUGCGCAACAGCGCCGCGGAGAGCGGUGGCGGCGACGCGCAGACUCUGCCUCCGUCGGCAGCGUCGGACGCGGAAGUGUCACCGGCCGCUGAGGAUGGACCACAACAUGCGCCUCAGCACGACAAUGAUAGCGCGCAGCUGGACGGCGAUCGCUCCUCCUUGUUCUCUGAGAUUUACACAUGCCACCGCCCAUUGCACCACUCUAUCGCCUCCACUGCCUCGACCUCGGCAGCACCACCGCCGGCGCUGCAGCGCGUGCCGCACCAGCAUUCUUUGCUCUCCGUGAUGCGGGAGUCGCGGCCUGACUACGUGGCAGCUCACACGCCGCCAGCAGUCAGCCUGCCAGUGGGUGCCAGCGUUGGCGAGGGGGGCGACGGCGAGGCGGUAAGCCCGCAGCAGACGGCCUCUGCCAUACCCCUCGACACAGACGGCGCCAACGCCAUCUUGCUUGACCUGGACGCGGACUACUUCCUGCCGAUCCUGAACUACCUGCGUCACGGUGCUGUCAUGAUCCCGCACUACCUCAGCGUGGCCGGGGUGCUGGCGAUGGCAGAGUACCUGAACGUGAUGGGGCUAGUGCGGCUGCUGCGCGGUCCACCGAAGCCACGGCGCGUGAUGUUGUUCAGCUGGGGCUCCGGCGGCAACGGGGAGCUGGGAACCCAUGCUACACGAGACGAGCCGACGCCGACCAUGGCGCAAGUGACGCCGUUUGGCGUGCGGGUGUGCGAGAUUGCGCUGGGGGCGAACUACAGCUGCGCCUUGAGCGACACCGGCAGCAUAUACACUUUUGGUAACGGAGAGUGGGGUCAGCUGGGUCUCGGCGGAAGCGGCUGUGCCGUGCGCGGUGGCAGCAGCCCCCCAGGUGGUGGCGUGGGCGGUGGCAACGGCACCGGCCAGGAUGGUGUCGACGUGCCGGUGGAGCUGCUUAUCCCGCGCCGGAUUCCGCUGUUUGAGCAGCUGCCGGCGGUGCACGUGGCGGCCGGGUACGCGUUUGCUAUGGCCAUUGUGGAGGGCCACCAUGUCUACUUCUGGGGCAACAACAACCACGGCCAAAGCGGCCGCGGACGCGCCCACUUCGACUUGCCGACGAAGAAGGUGGAUGCGCCAGUGCUGGUGGACACGCUGGAGGGCAAGCGCAUCAUCCAGCUGAGCUGCGGCAGCUUCUUCGCGCUGGCGCUAAGCGAUGAUGGCUUUCUGUACAGCUGGGGGCUGGUGGACUGCGUCGGCCUCGGCACGCCGGAAGAGGUGGAGCGUCGCUAUCGCGACGUUCUGGGCGAGUCCCUCAGCAACGAGCGCCGCGCUGUCGUGCUGACGCCGCAGCUGGUCACCGUGAAGGGCAGGCGGCGAGUCGCUCCCGGCGGGGCGGCCGUGACUGCGCCGGAGCGCAUUGUGCGCAUUCGCGCCGGACAGUGGCAUAGUGGUGCCAUCAACGAGCACGGAGAGCUCUUUACAUGGGGUGUGGGAUAUCAAGGCCGGCUCGGGCAUGGCUCCAAAGCCCCAGCCUACGUGCCGACGCUGGUGCGCGGCGCGCUUGAGGGCCACCGGGUAGUGGACGUGGCCUGCGGCUCCUUCCACACCGUCGCCCUCACUGCCGCCGGUGCCGUCUUCUGCUGGGGUGACAAUGCGAGUGGGCAGUGCGGCACCACGGCUGGCAGCCCCGACGCCUUCACCGCGCCUUAUCGGGUCGUGGGUCUCGAGUACGUGGCCGGCGGUGUGGCUCGCAGCAUCGCCUGCGGCCGGCAGCACACUGUCGUCGUGAUGGAGGGUCCGCAGCCGUGGUGCCCGCAGCCAUGCUGCCGCGCCGACGCUGCCGAGUCUGGGUGCCACUCCCAUGCGCAGGUCUACUGCUUCGGCGAGGCAACCCGGACGGCAAACGCAACCGGUUCGACUGCCUCUGCUGUGGCCGCGGCUGCUGUGAGUGGCGCGACGCGUGGCACGGUUUCCUCCAGCCACAUCGGGGUGUCCGUGGCCGCGAUGAACGCAGGCGCUCUGCCUGCCUCUCCGGGCCACGGCCCGUAUAUGACGGGUGGUGCUGCCGGCGGCUACCAGCCUGCUCUCGCACCUGGCGGUGCUGCUGCUGCGUUCCCGACCCGCUCGCCGCUCCCGUGCACGGGAGGCCAUCAUCACCCACACUAUCAGCUCGUGCCCGGCCUGCAAAAUGUUGAUGUACGAGGGGUCGUGAGCGGGCUGCAUCACACCUUCGCCUACGUCGAAGAGCUCUGUGCCGAUGCACUGCGGGUCGCUGACGGAUUCGGCGAAACGCUGCCUACUGCGACACGCGGCUGGGAGCACCGGCCGAGCUACCCCCCUUACCCACCUCCACUGCUGCCACCCCAAGCAGCAUCGGCAGCGGAGAGCCACGUGAGCCACUCGGCAUUCACGUGGGGAUCAAGAGGCUGUAGCAGCGGCGGCACUAAUAUCAGCUGGGCCAGAUCGUUCAUGCCCCCAACACCGGCAUCGCAGCGGCCACCCUCCGCGUACCGUGACCCGUGGACGGAUGCCCCGGUCGAGAGCAGCACGGACAGCGUCGGCGGCCGCAUCAUGCCGCUCACCAGGACCCGUACAAUGCACCCGACGUCAUGGAGCAGCGACCGCGUAACGACGCCUUUCACAGGUGCUGCUUCUUCGCAGCAGCACCAUCGCUUGGCGAGCCCCCUCACGGGUAGGGAAGAGGGCGCGUACUUGGAGAUGAGCCGCGGUAACGGCGACAACGGUCGACUUGCCGGCUCCGCUGAUGCCGUUUGAGUAGUAAAGGAGCCGCCCGAACUUCGACGGACCUGUGGAUGCGACUGUGUGUGUGUGUCUGCCUUUCACUGUCUUCGCGUUUUCCAGGCUGUUGCUGGUGCUCGCGUGCGUGUACGUUGGUGCAUAUCUCGUUGUCGACUGAUGACAUCAGGACACUGCUGGUGCACUGGCCGAUGCCGUGUGGGGGAGAGGUUGAUGCCUACAAGGGAGGGGAGUAAGGUAGACUACCACCGCAGCUCAUCAGCAGAGUACCAGCGACAGCCGCGCUGAGAGGAGCCCUUCUUCCCGCUCUACGUCUGCAGAUGAAGCGCUCCAUGCGAACAACACAUGAAGGAGAACACCCGCGAGAGUACGUCUAUACAUAGUUCUUUCCGACAUAAACGACGCAGAUGCGCUUGGUACGCGUGUGGGCACAUGCUUGGGAAUGUGCUUGCUGUGGGAGAGGGCACUUCGGCGCGCACGCAAACGCGACCUCGGCGCGCUUGUCCUCUUCGUUCCGGUGGUGCAUCCCUCUUCCCUUUAUAAGCUGCAGAGACACGGACUUUGACCGCCUGCUUCCACGCGGGCCUGCCUCCCUCCCUUUUUUCUCUUGUGCUUUCCCGUCUCCUCCGCCACCCUCAGCGUUGCGCGAGUCUCUCUCAUGCUUUCACGCCUCUGCGCCUCUCCUCGCGCCCGAACUCACCAUUGAUGCCGUCUCACCACACCGCUGUCUCUCCUUUCUGCCCGCUUCGCUCUGCCCAUCUCCGUUUCUUUCGGCUCCUGCGUAACGCGCGUAG
RNAcentral lists this unclassified non-coding RNA (4940 nucleotides) under Leishmania donovani. Its description in RNAcentral is "gene:LdHU3.17.0540(CDS-product:Regulator_of_chrom osome_condensation_(RCC1)_repeat_putative)". Lineage: Eukaryota; Euglenozoa; Kinetoplastea; Trypanosomatida; Trypanosomatidae. The record is from RNAcentral.